AGGGAUGUGAACCAAGGAGUUGUGGAGGAAGCGGUCUCUACAGAAGGCAGAGAGGAGUGGAGAUGGGAAAAUGGGGCUCUAUAGACCUGCGCUGAUUUAGUAGUUGCAGGCUAAUUUUGAGUUUUGGCUGCAGUUGAUUUUAAGAUAGAGAGUGAACUGGGAAUUUCCCACAUAUGAGACUUGGUCAUGAGUGAAAUGCCAAACAGGAGCUCAAAGACUGGAAAGUUAAAAGAUAAAUUGCCUUUAAAUUUGAGAACAGAUAUAUAUAUUCUGCAGAUGUGAAUUGGAAACUAGACACUGGGGUCUUAUUAAAACACUUUCCAGGAAAUUGUAACACAUUAAACAUUGGAAUGCCUUAUCCUUUUGAUGUCUGCAGUGUCUAGGCUUCCUAGAGUUCACACUUAGAAUAAUCUUCAAUGCAAUUGGCAGCUCUGAUGGGCAACCCCUGCGUAGAGGACGGACCCACAGGUCAAGACUUGAACAUCCUGUCCAUUGGCAGCACAAAGCCAAACAUCAGAGGUCAGCAUGCUAAGUGUCAGAGGUCAACGUGGAAGAGCUGGAGUGGAAGGGAGGCUUGUGGCUAGUUUGCAAAUUAAAAAUAAAGCCAUCAGCAUUCAGCAGGGGCUGUUGAGAUGGGAACACGAGUGUGUCGGUAUCCCAGGGCACUGCAUUGUGCUUGAUGUUGUUUGUAUAGCAGUAUUGAUGCAUCACUCGAGAAGUAAACUAGAGACUGGCAGUCUGGGGAUGGAGCCUUUGACACAAUGGGAGUUUGAAGUAUAUGGCCGCGAUGGCUGGACUCGGAUAAUCGCCCAUCCCCAUCACUCGAAGCACGUGUACCAGGAAACACCAGGGGACGGCGAGAGCUGUAAAUGAGGCUGAUUGUCUCAGAGAAGAUGCCAAGUGGAACAGGAAAUGCCUGGAACAUGAAGAGCUUCGAGCAGCCAGAUAACAUGUGCCUCACUUCCAGUAAAAAACACAGAAUGUCCCCAAAUCUGGUGGAAAAUAACGUACUUCUCAACACCAGGACAUGUUUAAUGGCAUUUCUAUUUUAGAACCCUGGUAUUUAUUCAUUUAACAAAUACAUUUUGUGCACACCACAGACCAAUUGUGCUGAGAUCCAAUUUUUUUGUUAUUUGUUUAUUUUACAAUAAUAGGACUGACUGAGAUAAUUCUUAAAAUGGAUGCUCUUGUCAAGGAAGGAGUUUGACUACAUAAUUGUCAUUGAACUUCAUUUUGCCCCUGAGCUAAGCAUUGAUCGCGUAUCUGCACUGCUGCUGAAACUGCCCCCUUCCAGCUCGGUAACAUCAGCCCUUCUCUCUUCUUUAAUUGUUUGCUGCGCCCACAUCCUGACUCGCAGUGGCUUGUGCAGAAGCACACCUUGUGGCGCGGUGCUGGAUAUGGUAGAUCUGCUGCCUCACAGCGCUAGAGACUCGGCCUCAAUCCUGACCUCGGGCGCUGCCUGCGUGGAGUUUGCACGUACUCACUGAGGGAGAAUGGGUGCUCCGGUUUUCUUCCAGAUCCCCAAAACAUGCAGGUUUGUAGGAUAAUUUGCCUCUGUAUACAGCCGGUAGUGUGCAGGGAAUGGAUGUGGAAGUGGGAUAACCACUAGGACUAGUGUGAAGAGUUGACCAAUAGCCAGCGUGGUCUCGGUAGGCAGAAGCUGUCCUGCUGUCACAAUAAACUAAACUUCAGUCCAUCUGAACAUCAAACAUUAUCCAAUCUCAGCAUUUAAAUGGAUGGCUGCACAUUUUGUUUCUCCAUCACAUUCUACGUUCUGGCUCACACACACUCAAAUUGUUUAAUUUCCCUUGAAACCUUGUUUCAAACCUCCAGUUCAGAAUCCUCAUGACUGACAUGCAUGAGGAAAGCUGUGGAUGACGUCAGGUGCCUGUACAUCCCUGGGCCAGGGGCCAAAACCCUUCUUUCUGGUCCCUUGAUCUCCUUCCUAUCAAUGAAGUCCUGCUGAAUCAGAGUUGAUAGCCAUUUCAGUGUCUGUGAACUGUCCAUCCACCCUGAAUUUGGAUCUGACACGUCCUGGUUGAUGGGAUGAUGCUCUCUGCUCCUGCACGUGGCCGCAGACUGCUCUGCCAUCCAAUUGGAAGCCACGCACCUUCAUUGAGUUGAGUUCACUUGCCAUUAAAGGUCACAGCAUUGGACGGCAAAGUCACGUGGUACAGAAAUCAGGACACAGGUCCAUGUUCACCCUCUUCACACCAGCCUCAAACGUCUGGUUUCACUGCGGACCUUUCUACAAAUACUUAAGGGCCUGUCCAACUUGGCUGCCUUU
Long non-coding RNA from Leucoraja erinaceus (little skate), 2287 nucleotides. RefSeq lists it as uncharacterized. The record is from RefSeq and is a predicted model, not a curated record. The transcript is spliced from 3 exons. NCBI's taxonomy places the organism in Eukaryota, Metazoa, Chordata, Chondrichthyes, Rajiformes, Rajidae.